Molecule: ribosomal RNA, 492 nt
Filed under: uncultured bacterium
Lineage: Bacteria
Description: partial 16S ribosomal RNA
Rfam family: Bacterial small subunit ribosomal RNA
Source: RNAcentral
AGUGAACGCUGGCGGUAGGCCUAACACAUGCAAGUCGAACGGCAGCACAGUAAGAGCUUGCUCUUACGGGUGGCGAGUGGCGGACGGGUGAGGAAUAUAUCGGAAUCUACUUUUUCGUGGGGGAUCACGUAGGGAAACUUACGCUAAUACCGCAUACGACCUACGGGUGAAAGCAGGGGAUCUUCGGACCUUGCGCGAUUGAAUGAGCCGAUGUCGGAGUAGCUAGUUGGCGGGGUAAAGGCCCACCAAGGCGACGAUCCGUAGCUGGUCUGAGAGGAUGGUCAGCGACACUGGAACUGAGACACGGUCCAGACUCCUACGGGAGGCAGCAGUGGGGAAUAUUGGACAAUGGGCGCAAGCCUGAUCCAGCCAUACCGCGUGGGUGAAGAAGGCCUUCGGGUUGUAAAGCCCUUUUGUUGGGAAAGAAAAGCAGCAGGUUAAUACCCCGCUGUUCUGACGGUACCCAAAGAAUAAGCACCGGCUAACUUCGUG